UUCCCUUCCCUUCGACCCCUCCCUUCUUUCCCGUAUUCCUACCCUUCAUUCCAUCCUUUCGUCCCUUCCCUUCGUUCCUUUAUUCCAUCCCUUCAUCCCAUCCUUCUUUUCGUUUACCGUUCAACUAUUCAUCCAAAGAAAACAUUAAGCUACAAAAUAACACACACACACACACACACACACAAGCACAUAUUAUUCUCUCCAGGCUACAGCUCACGUAUGCUUCGCUGCUUCACUCAAGGUCACCGGAGCUUCGCGAGACAACAAGAGAGAGUGUCGCAAGUCGAGCAAACAAAGGCUGGCUGCUCCUUGUCCCUCGUCAGCGCUGCCUCGCCUGCGUCACGCUCUCUAUCAGGGGACACCACGCUGCUCCCUGUCACCUGGAACAAUGGGGCGAUAAGCAAGGUUGGAUGCAUUGUCUGGGAUCUGGAAUCGACUCUCGCGCGUAGUUGAAGCAGUAAAUGGAACUCCUAUGCAACAUUGUCAGAUUGUCGUACUCAGCCGCUUAUAUUUCCCGACUUCCUCCCCAAAAACCGUCUUCUGGGCUGCAAUAACGAAGCACAUUUAUAGUUAUCGUUACAAGAGUUAGAUCCUGAUGUUUCUUGGCAAUAGUUAGGCGUCAAAAACCGGUAAAUACUAUGCUCUGAGUACGACAAUCUGGCAACGGUGCUCCUUUGACCGUGGAAAUUUCGUCUUCUCGAUAUUCUGGCAUACAGGACUUAUUUAUCUGGUGUAUUUCUUAUUUCAUUAAUUUUAUUUGCAUUUAUUUGUUGAUAUAUACAGUUUUGCUCUUUUUCCGUGUCUGUUUUAGCCUUAUUUCCAUGGUGAGGCAGAGAACUUGGCACUGUGCAUGGGUUCUGAGACCAUCAUGGCGUAGGCUGAGGUGGACAGAAGAGGGAGAAGAAAGGGCACACGUUUAUCCAUUUAUAUCCACACGCAACCUCUCCAUCACUGUCCUUACGUGGCUCUGGAGGACACGAGGAACCAUGAAGCACAUCGGAGAAGGGGAAUAUCGCAGCAGAGGACGCCACAGCAACGUAAAUUAAGCAGAAUAUGUCGCUGGGUGUUGCUGGGCUGCCAUGGACAUCUCUGGGCGCUGAGGACAAAGCAUCGCGGUUCCCGUGGAUGAAAGAGUACUUGACGGCCCACCUCUGGCCUCAAGGUGAUGUAAGGAGGAACACCUUGACUGUGCUCCUCGUUACAGGUUGAGUCCCUGAAAAGGUGUGCAUUCAUUUGCUUUGUCUUUAAAAAAAUUCCACAGUACUUAUAGACAGACAUUGUUCAUAGACUUUUAAUUACUUCUUAAAUUAUUGUUUUUUGAAUAGGGAUCAUCUUUCAAUGUCCACAUCAUUUCAUGGCCUUUGUAUGUCUAAAAUGCACAAGAUUUCCCUGGUAGAAUAUAGUUUUGAGGUUGACGAGACCGCAUGUAGGAGGGUAAACACGUCCCGCUGCUGCGCUGGGCGGGUCACUGGCUCGAGGGGCAGCUCUUUUCUCUCGGUUGUCCCUGUUUGAAUCAGAUCUUUUCUUUCAGUUGCCCCUAUUAAGAGUUGCCUCGGCAUACAACCCGGUUUGAAUCAGAUCUUUUCUUUCAGUUGCCCCUUAUAAGAGUUGCCUCGGCAUACCAUUCCUCCUUUGGAUGCCUCAAUUGACCGUUUUCAAAUUUGGCAAGUGAAUGUGUUCUCAUCUGCAGCACAGGAAUGAAACUUCCUAUCACAGCAAGUUACACAGCAUUCAUGGACGGGCUCUUGCAGGGAAGGCCUUUCAAUGGAUGCUCAUGCCACACACUGCUACUAGGAACAGGUCAUGUCCAGGCUGACGGGAAGAAGCGACUCCUUACGUCCUGGUGCACUUCCCAUCCUCCCCCACCACCACCUUGCCGCGGGCCACCAGCUCCAUGGCUCUGAGGACACAAGAUAACAUUAACACGAAGCAGAAAACCAAGUGAGG
Eriocheir sinensis (Chinese mitten crab) is the source of this 1947-nucleotide long non-coding RNA. RefSeq lists it as uncharacterized. The transcript has 3 exons. The record is from RefSeq and is a predicted model, not a curated record. NCBI's taxonomy places the organism in Eukaryota, Metazoa, Arthropoda, Malacostraca, Decapoda, Varunidae.